GUACCCGUAGUUCAACUGGAUAGAAUGCCUGAUUACGAAUCAGGAGGUUACAGGUUCAACUCCUGUCGGGUACA
Molecule: transfer RNA, 74 nt
Filed under: Candidatus Pelagibacteraceae bacterium
Lineage: Bacteria; Pseudomonadati; Pseudomonadota; Alphaproteobacteria; Candidatus Pelagibacterales; Candidatus Pelagibacteraceae
Description: tRNA-Arg
Rfam family: tRNA
About the family: Transfer RNA (tRNA) molecules are approximately 80 nucleotides in length. Their secondary structure includes four short double-helical elements and three loops (D, anti-codon, and T loops). Further hydrogen bonds mediate the characteristic L-shaped molecular structure. tRNAs have two regions of fundamental functional importance: the anti-codon, which is responsible for specific mRNA codon recognition, and the 3' end, to which the tRNAs corresponding amino acid is attached (by aminoacyl-tRNA synthetases). tRNAs cope with the degeneracy of the genetic code in two manners: having more than one tRNA (with a specific anti-codon) for a particular amino acid; and 'wobble' base-pairing, i.e. permitting non-standard base-pairing at the 3rd anti-codon position.
Source: RNAcentral